Molecule: long non-coding RNA, 323 nt
Filed under: Androctonus crassicauda
Lineage: Eukaryota; Metazoa; Arthropoda; Arachnida; Scorpiones; Buthidae
Source: RNAcentral
UGACUUCAGAGGGCGUCUGAAUAUAAAUGCCCCCAGCACUUUGUGGGUGCUCUUUACUGGGCCUUUGCACUGUCUCCUGGAAAGAGGCAAUUGGGACCCACUAGCCUGCACUGAAUCAGUCUACUUGUGCCUUACACACACACACACAGGCAGAAUGGUCGAUCGCUUAGAAUGAGUUCCUUCAGGAUUGCCUCUUGUAAAUUAACGUAGAACUAAGAACGUUUGCACUACCACACACAGAGUUUAGGUGAUCUUGGUGCAGUGAGGGGACUGCAGUUUUGUAAAAUGAAACUCACAUGUACACGCUCUGUUGAAGACUAAGG